Molecule: long non-coding RNA, 1883 nt
Organism: Pomacea canaliculata
Lineage: Eukaryota; Metazoa; Mollusca; Gastropoda; Architaenioglossa; Ampullariidae
Exons: 6
Source: RefSeq, a predicted model, not a curated record
ACUGUUGUAAUCCUUUGUAUUAGCGUCAUGUAUAGUUCUUUCCAUUUGUUCCACUAUUAUAUAUUUUAGACUCUCAAAUAAAUAAACUGAAAAACAAGCGUGGCAUUCACAAAUUUAAGAAACUUCAGUGUCAAUCAGGUAUCUAAUAUUUUUCAUUAACUAUGGGUUUGACCCUGUUUUGUUCAGUUUAGUACUUAUGGGAGCUGUGUUGUGGAUAGAAGCAGGCACUACAGAUGUAUUCUAUUAUAUACAGCUAACAAAAACCAUUGUCAUGUUAAUGUUGUUCAGAUAAACACGUUUAUUUUGGAGAUUACCUGUAUGUGAAUAUAUCACGGCCGACAAAAGACGAAGUCUGUGACCUCCCUGUGCCUCCUCCUGCCCAGCGCCUCAGGGUGCUCGUGUCUGCAGACAUCCAGCAGCCACCAGCCUCCACCUGUCCAUCGCAGCUGAUGGGCACGUUUGUGAUGAACACAACCGCCUUCAGACUUGACGGUUGCUCCUCUGACAAACGUCAGCAAAUUAAAAUGGUUGACUCAUUACACCUGCAAAACAACUCUUCAGUUGCAGACAGCACGACACUCACCUGCAUCCAUUCAGUCUCGGAGGCCAACACUACCUACGUGUUAACGUAUGGAGGUACAAACCCGUCCUUCCACUUCGUGUGUCUUGCCGUUCAGUCCAGUGAUGACCAUCUGUACCUCACGCAGCAAGAUAAUGACUGUGACAGAGUUCAAACACCUUAUCUCAUUCUUUUGUCUUGACUCCUGAAACAUUGUGUCCCCUCCAACAGCCCCCGGAGACAACACCACACACCUCAGUGGAGACGGCGUCAGACACAAGCCUCGCCAUCGCCCUCGGUGUUGCUCUUCCUGUGGUGACUGUUGUCAUCGCUUCAGUCAUCAUUGGUUGUCUUCUUUGCAAGAAAAAGAAACUCGGACCGUGGAAAGCUGGCUGCGAGACACAUGCAGACCAACCAAGCGGUACUCAGGUCCAGGAACACCAAGAGCCAGUUCAGACCCCAGCACAGACUAGUAAUGAGUAACUAGUAAUUGUAAUUGUAAAUUGUUUUCUUAAUAUGUAAAGUAUACUUACAAACGAAUUGUCAAUAUUCAUUACAUUUUGUAAUUUUAUGCGGACAGCGAAUGUCAGGAAAGUGAAGACGUCCAGGAUCUGCCCCACUGUCUGCACAUUGUAGAGAUGAGUACAUGUGAAUAGUCGACUACAACUUAGAGACAGUCCAAUGUUUGUUCCCUACAACACAUUGCAAGUGUGAUGAAGUAGCUUUCGGCAGAAUAUGCAAUGUAUUGAACAGUGUCAACAGCUGUACAACUACAGUAACAUCCUCUAGAGUAGCAGGUGUAUACAAUACAUAGUACACCCACUGACAAACAGACACCAGUGGUGCUCUGUGCACUUUACUAUUCACGACAAGAUCGGUCACCCGUGGAAGUUGAUUGUUCCGACGAGCCAAGCCUCUCUGCCAACACUUCUAAACUGUUCAACCCAUCUUGACACAUCGUUGACAUCAACAUCAUCUCCGGUUUCUUAGCAACGUCCUGGCGCGAGGACUUCCAACCCAGUCAUGGUCAUCAGACUCUCGAAAGAACUAAAAUAAGUUUGGAUGUUACGAACAUCAGCACGGUUCUCAGUGACGAGCCACAGAGAGAAAGAGGGAGAAAUAGGGGACGUGAAACGGGUCUCCAUCUCUGUAGAUGCAGGCUGGUCGCUGGCCCUAGUUUUUGCUUCCUGAGUGGCAGUUGUUGUCCUGAUGCUGCUGAUGCUGCUGAUGCUGUUGUUGAACUGGCGAAGCUAGUGACUGGGCGAGUGUGCGAAGUGGUUUGUAUGAAUGUGUGCGCGUGUCAAUGGGGUUAUAGAAAAAAGAC